This 74-nucleotide transfer RNA is filed under the name Phrynosoma platyrhinos (Desert horned lizard). RNAcentral's name for it is "tRNA-OTHER". The record is from RNAcentral. Lineage: Eukaryota; Metazoa; Chordata; Lepidosauria; Squamata; Phrynosomatidae.
GCCAUUGUGGUGUAGUGGUUUGAGUGUUGGACUAGGACUCCAGGAGACCAGGGUUCAAAUCCCCCACUAGAGCA